This 8150-nucleotide long non-coding RNA is filed under the name Gossypium raimondii (Peruvian cotton). RNAcentral's name for it is "long non-coding RNA (GRAI_LNC010179)". Lineage: Eukaryota; Viridiplantae; Streptophyta; Magnoliopsida; Malvales; Malvaceae. The record is from RNAcentral.
UAUCUUGGUAAAUUACGUCAUCCAAUUAUUAAUCUUAUUUAAUUGUAAAAAGUUUUUAUUGUAGUAGUGGAUGAACAACUGUGAAGAGCCAUAGAAUUUUUUUUUCUAAGGAUAAGCUUCGAUGACGGAUUGAACUGCACGUGUCGGUUUAACGUUGAAUCGUGUAAAACCAGAUUGUCGAAGAACAUAGCUCCAUUCCUUUAAGGUCCUCUCUUUCCCUUUAUUUGUAAUAGCCAUCAGCGCCGUGUCUAGCAUCAACCCUACGCCACCUAGCUCGUCGCCUUCUUUAUCUUCUUCAAGAACUGCUUCAACGAUUAUAACCUUCCCUUUAUCUUCUGGAAUGGCUUCUCGACAUUUUUUUAGGAUUUUAAUGCAUUCCUCGUCGUCCCAAUCAUGCAAUACCCACUGCAAUGUGCAAUGUAUGGAUUAAUCGUAUAAGACCAUAUAAUGAAGGGAAAGAAAGUACUAACCAUGAGAAACGCUGCGUCGGCGUUUGGGAUAGACAUGAACAUGUCUCCUCCUACGUUUUCAAUGCUAUCGGAUUUUGCUGAAACGGCGACGACAUGAGGGAGAUCAAAGUUGAUGCCUCGAAUCCAUGGGAAUGCCUUGACUAAAAGGCUCAAAGCAGUCCCGUUACCACCACCAACAUCGACCAGGCUUUCGACUCCGUCGAACACUUCGGGACAUCCUUCGAUUGUCGCCUGCACCGUCAGUCUAGCAUGGCAACCCAUGGCGUUGUUAAAGAGUUCUCUAAAGUCGGGGUUCGCCUCGGUGUAGCUCCAUAGAUCUUUCCCAUUUGCUACUUCAAAUGGUGAGAUAUUAUUGCCGGUUUCAAGGACUCGAGCACUAAGACUAUGCCAGGGUGCUAAGCAAGUAGGGCUGGACAUGAGCAAUAUGAAAGCAGCCAUGGAUUUUUCUCCACCUUUUAGCAAACAACGAGACAAUGGCGUCGAUGAGAAGCCUACAGUGUGUUGGUUGAUGGGUUCCUGUUUGAAUAUUCGGUCGUGGACCAUGAACCUCAUAAUGCGAUGAAGACGCGACGGUUCGCAUCGGAGGGCAGUGGCUAGCUCGGAUAGUGGCAUAGGUCUUCCAUAGUUUUCAAUAACGUCGGCAAUCCCAAGCUCAAUGGCACAUUUAACGACAGCUAUUUUAACAUAUCCUAACACAUAAUUCCAAAUCUUUAUUUCAGCUCUAACUUCUUCCUUUAUUGUCACUUCCAUAUCUCCCAUCUUUUUUUAUUUGAGAAGUUUUGAUAACUCUAUGCCCAAAUCUUGACUAUGAAGCUAAGAUUUAUAGAAGCAAAGGCAUUGGUUAUUGUUCGUGGGAUAUUCUCACAUUUUUCAUGCCAUUCACUUUUGCUGCCCACUACUUUGUUUAUGUGGUAGUGGGUGCAAGUGUGCGAUGAAAAGCAGGGAUACAUUUCCACACCACCCAACGAACUUUACACAUGUCCCUACCCUAUCCGUUUCUAUGGUGACGUAGAAUCUAAUCAAUCUCCACAAAAUCAGACACAGGAUCUUUCAUUUUUUGGACAUGACACAGCUCAUCAUCUCAUAUUAUCUAAAAUUAAAAAAUAUUUUAAGAAAAUAAUAAUUUUUGAAAAAGAAAAAUACAAUUUUACAAAUUAUUGUUAUUUUAUCUUUUUUUUUCGUGUUAGUCUUCGUCCAUAAUGUUUAUCGAUGCUUAUCAAAUUAUUUACCCUAAAUAUUUAUUGUCACUCUUCGAGUAUAAGACUUAUUUCAUUCGAACUUCGUUAAAACCUAAAUUAGAGUGAUUUAUUAUUGUUUAAAUUUGAAUAUAUUUCAAUUUUUAAUUUAUUAUAUUUUUUAAUUGAUUUAUUCUAAUUCUAAUUGAUAAAAUAUGUAUUAUUUGUAAUUUAUAAUAAACUUUUUUUAAUACGAUACAUAAUAAAAUUUUAAAAAUAGAAUAUAGUGUAAUCAAGUACAAUCACGUAUGUAUGAUGAUGUAUAAGGAAUUAUAAAGUUGAAUUAAACUAAUAUAAACUACAAAUAAAUUAAGAAUCGGAAUAAUUUGAACUAAAACUCACAUAGAACAAUUGAGCAUGAAGAGAUUCAAACUUUAGUACACAAGAUAAAACCUUGAUCUUUAUCAACAAUUUCGAAACUUACUUUAUCCGGAUUAAAAUAAUAAUCAUAUUUUAAUUAUUUUUCGCAUUCAAUCCAAAAUUAUUCCAGAGAUAGAAUUGAAGAUUGAAAUAAUUAUUGAACAAAGGGAAUUACUAAACGAAGAGCAAGACUGAAACAUUUCUCAUGCAACAAUGUUUUAAUUGUUUUGUAGUAGUGGAUGAACAACUGUGAAAAGCCAUAGAUUUUGUUUUCUAAGGAUAAGCUUCGAUGACUGAUUGAACUGCAUGUAUGGGAUUAACAGUGAAUCAUGUAAAACCAGAUUGUCGAAGAACAUAGCUCCAUUCCUUUAAGGUCCUCUCUUUCGCUUUAUUAGUAUGAGCCAUCAUCGCCAUGUCUAGCAUCAACCCCACAAAACCUAGCUUGUCGUCUUCUUUAUCUUCUUCGCGAACUGCUUCAACGAUUAUAACCUUCCCUUUAUCUUCUGGAGCGGCUUCUCGACAUAUUUUUAGGAUUUUAAUGCAUUCCUCGUCGUCCCAAUCAUGCAAUAUCCACUGCAAUUUGCAAUGUAUAGAUUAAUCGUAUAAGACCAUAUAAUGAAGGGAAAAAAAAGUACUAAUCAUUAAAAAGGCUGCGUCGACGUUUGGGAUAGACAUGAACAUGUCGCCUCCUAUGUUUUGAAUGCUACCGGACUUUGGUGCAACGGCAACGACAUGAGGGAGAUCAAAGUUGAUGCCUCGAAUCCAUGGGAAUGCCUUAACUAAAAGGCUCAAAGCAGUCCCAUUACCACCAUGAAACAACUUUGGACGUCACGAAUCUGAAAACCAAAAUUCGAACAAUUUUUUUCUCUGAUCUCCGACAUUGGUUGUUAGAUCGACUUAGAUCUAAGAUAUGUUCUGCUACUCGUCAAUGGGUAUUGAUCCACCAUAUCGAUCGUUGAAUCGUUACUUGGAGCUUGCUGGCAGAACUUAAAAAAAAAUUUAACAGCCUAUUGACUUAAAUAAAAACUUUUAAAUAGUUCAGUGACUUAAAUGAAAACUUUCAAAUAGUUCAGUGACCGGAUUGUAACCCUUUUUUAGUUAAGUGACCAAAAUGAAAAGCUACCCAUAGUUUAGUGACUAAUAGUAUAGCUUACCCUACUUUAAUUUGGUCAAUUUUAGUACAUUUUUUUUGAAUUUUGAACUUCAGAUUGAAUUGCAAACUAUAGAAGUUAAAUUCAUUAUGUCAAAUUCUGCUAUUAGUUUUGUACUAUACGUAAGUUUCGGAUUUGGUCUCAAUUCUCCAAUUUGAUCAUUUUAAUCAUUAUACCUUUCUUAUUUUGAAAUUCUAAUCAUGGUUCAUAUGGUAGUUGACAUAACACUACACACAUGAUAAUAUGUUUGUCGUAUAGAAAUUUGGAAAUGUCAAAAUUUAACAACUGAAAUUUUAAAAUUUAAAAAGUACAAGGACUUAAAAUUAUCAAAUUAGAGUACAAAAGCUAAUUUUACAAGUUACAUAUAUUAUAGGGACUAAUAGUGGAUUUUGAUCAAAAUCAUGUUUUUAACAAAAAGGACAACUUUCUGAAUUUAAAAGGUUACAAUGUGAAGUUAGUUCUGUAUUUUGAUAAAAUUUGAGAAUUAGUCUUGUAAUUGAAAAUUUAACAAAUUAAGUCCUCCUAAUUUUAUAAUUUGAAAUUCACAAUCUAAUUAUUAACAUUGUUAGUAUUUUUUGUCAAAAUUUGUCAACUUGGCAUAUUAGACUACCCUAAUAUGACGUGGUAUAUGAUUGACAAAAAAUAUAUAUACUAAAUUGAAAAAUUCUAACAUAGGUUACCAACAAUGAUAAUGAUUGGACUUAUAUUUCUAAAUUGGAAAAAAAAUAGUUGGAUUGAAUUUUUAACUUUUAAAGUAGAGGGACUAAAUAUCAUAUUCUGCAAAGUACAAGGACUAAUAUCAUAUUUUAACGAAUUAUUAAGUAAAUUUGGCCCAACCCAAAAGCCCAUCUGAUUACGACCCUUUCUACUUCUACCAUUGUACAUAAGGCUAUUUCCACAGUGUUUCUGCUAAUAUUCCAUCACUUUCUCGGGAAAAUCAACGAUGGCAGAUUGGACCCAACUCCCCAAGGAACUACUAGAACUUAUUUCCAAACGCCUAGGAACCCACUAUGACGUCAUCCGUUUCCGUUCCGUUUGCUCCACCUGGCGCUCCGCCGUUACUGCCCACAACCGCUGCCGCAACCGCUUCGCUCCCCGUUUCCCGCUUCUCCCUAUUUCCUCCCAAUUCUCCCUCUCAAAGCGCUCCGUAUUCCUCCUCGGAUCACCCACAACUAGUACCCAAACAAACGCUUCUAGCCCCUCCUCGUGGGUAAUCAAAAUCGAAGAAGAUCCGAUGAACGGCAGAGUCCAGCUUUUGAACCCUCUCUCAAGGUCUCGUUUCGAUUCUCUCCCUGAUAAUUUCCCCAAACCUUUAAAUUUGUUGGAUUUUAGGGUUCUUGAAUUGGGUGAAGAGUAUGUGCUUCAUUAUUUAACUCAUCACAGUGUGGGCAACUUGUACAUGGAAAAAGUUGUCCUAUCUUGUUUAGAUGAUAAUGUUAACGAUUUCAUUAUACUUACAAUUUAUGUUUCUGGGAAAUUAGCAAUGUUUAAAUCUAGUGUUAAGAAAUGGGCUAUAAUUUAAGACAUGCCAUCUCCUUUUGACGAUGUGAUAUUAUAUAAAGGGAAUUUUUAUGCUGUUGAUAAUACUGGUAGGACUGUGGUUGUGGGAUUGGAUUUCGAGACAAAUUUGAUUGCUAUGCCUGUUUUUGGUGGUGAUAAGAAGUUUUUGGUUGAUUCAAAGGGUGAGUUAUUGUUGGUUGAUAUGUAUUUGAGCAUUGAAUCUGAGCCAGGUUUGUCUUCUUCUUCUGCCGGUUUCGGGUUCGUCGAGGAGUAUUUUGAAAACCUUGCUUUGUAUAUGAACGAGAGGACGGUUAAGUUUAAGGUUUUUAAGUUGGAUGACGUUGAUAAGCAGUGGGUUGAAGCUAAGGAUUUGGACGAUCGCGUGUUGUUUUUAGGUGAUGGUUGCACCUUUUCUGCUUCAAUAGAAGAUUUAUCCGUGUGUAGAGGGAAUUCCAUAAUCUAUGUGGAUAAUUUCUUUCAUUCGCUCGGGGAAGAAGAUGGGGCGUCGGAGCAUUGUGAUGUAGGCGUAUUCGAUUUGGAAAGCGGUUCUAUAGGACCAUUAACAAAGGUUCCUCAAUCUUCCGAGCUAUUCUGGCCACCACCUCAUUGGAUUUCAUCCACAGCAGCAUCGGAUGUAAGUAUUUUUGUUUUGCAGUGUUGAACUUUGGGUCGAGUUUUUAUUUAUAUAUAGUUCUGUAUACUAUUGCAAUAGCCAUGAAGAUCUUUAAGCAUCAGAAUCCCUAAGUAGAAUCACGUAAAAAACUGGUGAAACUCCCCGGAAAGCUUUUUGAGUCGUGUUUAUGCUUAAUGGUAUAGGCAUGCUAGCUUCAAACUAUGUCUUGAAAUGCCAUGCAUCUAAUGUUAACUUACUGAAAAUGCCAAAGAGAAGUCUAAAUCGAAUGCGGAUCUCUUUCAUAUGCCGGGUUAAGGGGCGUUACAAAUGCUUUCAAAACAAUUGGGAAAAUCCCAUUGCCAAAUUUGAUGUGAAAAUGGCAAUAUCCCUUAUUUUCUUGGUAAAUUACACCAGCAGUCAUCCAACUAUUAAUAUAUUUUUUUGGUUAUUUAAUUAUGAAAAGUUAUGAAAUGAUCACACAAUAAUUAGUAAAUUUCUUUUUCGGUCACCCAACUAUGAUAAGUUACGAAAUGGUAUCCAACUAUUUAAUUUUAUCUUUUUUGUCGCCGGCUGGCUAACUUGACAACUUUUAAAAUUAGCUCAAUAGUAACUUUAACCGUUAAUAUUUAUCUAUUAUGUUAAUUUAGUUUUGAUUCCAAAAAAAAAAACUUAACGCUUAACAUUUACACAUGGUGUAAUUCGAACUUCUUCUCUUUUUUUUUUUUUUUUAAAUUUUGUGUUUUUUUAUAAUAUUGAGAGUUAAUUUUAAAAGAAAGAAAAAUGAUAAAAGUUAUUAUUUAGAGUUUUUGGGUGUUUUCAUUUUUUUGUUUAUUUUCAAUCAAAUUUAGCUAAUAAAUUAGACUUUUAGCUUUUUAGGUAAAAAGAUUACAAAGAACAAGAAAAUUGCAAAAAAAAAAUCUAAAUAUUGAGGGUUAGAUUUUUUAGAAUCAAGACUUGACACAAUGUUAAAUGUUAAAGUUGCUAUUAUGCCAAUUUUAAAAGCUACAAAAAAAUGAUAAAAUUUAAUAAUUAAAUAAUUAUUUUAUAACUUUAUAUAAUUGGGUAAUCAAAAUAAAAUUUAUUAAUAUUUAAGUGGAUAUUUAUUUAUUUAUUUAUUUUUCAGUUCUAUAAACAAACAAAUGGUGGAUGGAAUUUAAUCUCUCUCCACAAAAUCAGAGACGGGUUCUUUCUUUUUUUGGACAAUGGUUACCCAAAAUAGCGAAAAAUUGUCACAUAAAUGUUCUAUAUAAUUAGUGCCUCCACUAAACAGCUCAUCAUUUCAUAUUUAUCUAAAAUUGUGUUAUAGAUAUUUAUAGGGCAUCUUAGAUGGAUUAACGCUUCUUUUGAAAAAGAGUUAUGAUUUUGUAAUAAUCCAAAUUGAUAGUAUGGAAACAGUUCAAGUUAUUAAAGACGAGGCUUGUAAGGACUUGGGCUCAACUUUAAUAAGAAGAAAUCAUCAAUUUUUGCCUAGUAUUAGACAUUGGGACAUUUGUCACAUUUCGAAGGAAAAUAAUGGAGAAGCCGAUGAAAUUGCUAAACUAGUUCAAGAAAGGAGAGAAGGUCUUCAAGUGUUUGAAGUGUCCCCAUUAGAGAGUUAGUUUUAUUUUAUCGUAAUUUUUAGGUUUUGUAUUUUCACUAAAUUUCUUUUAAGAAAAUAGAAAAUAAUAAUUUUUGAAAACCCAAAGUACAAUUAUAUUAAAUUUGUGAUUUCAUCCAUAAUGUUUAUUAAUAUCUAUCAAAUUAUUUGUCCUAAUCAUUUGAAAUUUAGGCUUAGUUUGGAUUGGUGAUAUGUUUAACUGUAGUUAGUGUAAAAACAACGGUGGCGGUGACAUUAAAUACUAUAGCGACACUGUAGUGUGAGACAAAAAAUAAAUUAAAAACACCGCACCUAAUUACCCAUCCAAACCCACCUUAGUUAGUUACAAUCUAAAAUGAAAUAUAUAUUAAUAUACUAAUAUAUUAUAUCGGUGUUUUGUUCAGUUUUAUUAUGGUUUAAAUUCAAAUAUAUUUCAAAUUUCAAUCUAUUAUAUUUUAUAUUGAGUUAUUCUAAUUUUAAUUUUAAUUUUAUUAUUUGUAACUUAUACUAAGUUUUUUUAAAAAAGUAACUGAUACUCGUAAAUUCUUUCGAAAAUAAAUUAUGAUAAAUUAUAACAGCACAAAUCGCGUUACAAACUGAAAUCCUUUGAAUUUUUUUGAAAAAGUUUACAAGUAGAAUAUAGUAAAUCAAGUAUGACUACUAAAGUUAAAUUGAAUCAAUAUAAAUUAAAAUUAAAAUUCACACAGCUUUAGUGUACAGGACUCAAAAUCUCGACUUUUUACCAACAAUGCCAAACCUCUUAUCUGACAUGUAUUUUAAUUAUUUUUCACAAUCAGUCUAAAACUAUUCCAGAGGCAGAAUUAAAAUUGAUAUAUGGAUUCCAACAGUGAUUUUAAAGAAAACCACUCAAAACCAAGAUUUAUUGAUUCCAACAAAAGACUGAUGUUUUUAGCCAAAACUAAAACAUUUCUCAUGCAACAAAGUUUUUAUUGUAGUAGUGGAUGAACGACUGUGAAGAGCCAUAGAAUUUUUGUUUCUAAGGAUAAGCUUCGAUGACGGAUCGAACUGCACGUAUAGGUUUAACGUUGAAUCGUGUAAAACCAGAUUGUCGAAGAACAUAACUCCAUUCCUUUAAGGUCCUCUCUUUCCCUUUAUUUGUAAUAGCCAUCAGCGCCGUGUCUAGCAUCAACCCUACGCCACCUAUCUCGUCGUCUUCUUUAUCUUCUUCAAGAACUGCUUCAACGAUUACAACCUUCCCUUUAUCUUCUGGAAUGGCUUCUCGAC